This 732-nucleotide ribosomal RNA is filed under the name Ralstonia sp. SMCC B0665. Its description in RNAcentral is "bacterial SSU rRNA". It matches the Rfam family "Bacterial small subunit ribosomal RNA", at positions 22 to 743 of the family's 1533-position model. The record is from RNAcentral. Lineage: Bacteria; Pseudomonadati; Pseudomonadota; Betaproteobacteria; Burkholderiales; Burkholderiaceae.
GCUCAGAUUGAACGCUGGCGGCAUGCCUUACACAUGCAAGUCGAACGGCAGCAUGAUCUAGCUUGCUAGAUUGAUGGCGAGUGGCGAACGGGUGAGUAAUACAUCGGAACGUGCCCUGUAGUGGGGGAUAACUAGUCGAAAGAUUAGCUAAUACCGCAUACGACCUGAGGGUGAAAGUGGGGGACCGCAAGGCCUCAUGCUAUAGGAGCGGCCGAUGUCUGAUUAGCUAGUUGGUGGGGUAAAGGCCCACCAAGGCGACGAUCAGUAGCUGGUCUGAGAGGACGAUCAGCCACACUGGGACUGAGACACGGCCCAGACUCCUACGGGAGGCAGCAGUGGGGAAUUUUGGACAAUGGGCGAAAGCCUGAUCCAGCAAUGCCGCGUGUGUGAAGAAGGCCUUCGGGUUGUAAAGCACUUUUGUCCGGAAAGAAAUGGCUCUGGUUAAUACCUGGGGUCGAUGACGGUACCGGAAGAAUAAGGACCGGCUAACUACGUGCCAGCAGCCGCGGUAAUACGUAGGGUCCAAGCGUUAAUCGGAAUUACUGGGCGUAAAGCGUGCGCAGGCGGUUGUGCAAGACCGAUGUGAAAUCCCCGAGCUUAACUUGGGAAUUGCAUUGGUGACUGCACGGCUAGAGUGUGUCAGAGGGGGGUAGAAUUCCACGUGUAGCAGUGAAAUGCGUAGAGAUGUGGAGGAAUACCGAUGGCGAAGGCAGCCCCCUGGGAUAACACUGA